Phyllostomus discolor (pale spear-nosed bat) is the source of this 743-nucleotide long non-coding RNA. RefSeq lists it as uncharacterized. NCBI's taxonomy places the organism in Eukaryota, Metazoa, Chordata, Mammalia, Chiroptera, Phyllostomidae. The record is from RefSeq and is a predicted model, not a curated record. The transcript has 3 exons.
UUGUUACUGUUAAGCCAUCUUUCCUUCCUCGUUUCUUCCUUCUCUCUUCCUUUACCUGAAUUAACUUGUGUUCUUCUCUUCUGAAAGAUGGAAUAAAUUUUAAUCUAAUAAUAAAGAUAAAUAGUAAACACUAAUUUUUCCCCUAGAAAGGCUCACAGGACUUGCUUAUUAAUAUUGAUGAUAGCUUACUAUUCUCAAAAAAUUUCAAGUAAAUAUUAUGCCCUUGUACUCUUAAAUAAUAGGUUAUUUUCCAACCAAGAAAGUAGUUUCCGUGGUAGUUAGAAAUUGGAAGUUAGCAAAUGUGCAAAGAAGAGCACAUGAUAACAAACUUUAUACUUUAAUUUGAAUGCUUAAAGUUCAAAAUUAUGUCCUUAAAGGAUGUUAAAUUAUUAACUAGUAAGCAAAGUUUUAAAUAUAAUUUUUACCAUAUUUAAGUGACAGAUGCCUUAUCUUAUUUACAUCUGUGGCGUCUUAACAUGCUUUAUUCUUAUCGAUUAUAGGAUCUGAAUACGCUUUUCUCUCUAAUCAUAAACUCCUUGGUUAUCUGAGAGUAGCAUGAGUGAGAAAUUUUUUACUAUGUGUAUCCUGUCAAAUCUUGGAAAUUUUGUUUCUUCAAAGAUGUUUAUUCUGAUUAAUGGGCCCUUUGAGGUUUGUGUCAGCAUAUGCCUACUUAGUGACAGAUAAUUUUACCUUACUAAAAUGGUAAAAUACAAUUGAAUCUAGAUUAGAUAAAUGAAAAUGCA